RNAcentral lists this ribosomal RNA (239 nucleotides) under uncultured Lactobacillus sp. RNAcentral describes it as "partial 16S ribosomal RNA". It matches the Rfam family "Bacterial small subunit ribosomal RNA", at positions 123 to 354 of the family's 1533-position model. The record is from RNAcentral. Lineage: Bacteria; Bacillati; Bacillota; Bacilli; Lactobacillales; Lactobacillaceae.
AACCUGCCCAAGAGAUCGGGAUAACACCUGGAAACAGAUGCUAAUACCGGAUAACAACAGAUGAUGCCUAUCAACUGUUUAAAAGAUGGUUCUGCUAUCACUAUUGGAUGGACCUGCGGUGCAUUAGCUAGUUGGUAGGGUAACGGCCUACCAAGGCGAUGAUGCAUAGCCGAGUUGAGAGACUGAUCGGCCACAUUGGGACUGAGACACGGCCCAAACUCCUACGGGAGGCAGCAGAA